CAAAUAAUUUCAACCGGUCAAUUCCAAAAGGCCGCUUUUUUAAUUAUCUUUGUACUUUUUCUGAAUCAUAUCUUGAGUUUGCAGAGCAAACUCAACGUCAUGUAAGGGAUGUAACAGAAAUAGUUUUUCCAUAGCGGUACCACCUAGACAGUUAAUUAGUUUCAGACGUAAUUUAACAGAUUUAAAUGAAAAAAUAUGAAAAAAAAAGUUCGGUCAGAGCGUUUUUAGGAAUUGACGGGUUAAACGCAUAGAGAAUUUGUUGUUUACUUCAAGAGUUCUUCAAACUGUUAAGCAGCUGUACAUAUAUGUCAGCUUUUGAUGAAGAUGCAGUGUGCGGUGAUGCUCGCGCGACAACGGUGACAGCCACGACAGCUGUGGCAUUAUCGGUCCACCUUGAUGUUCCGCCUAGUCUUCUAUUCAUACGUUACACAUUUCGGUUCGUGGAAAGUCAAAGAUUCACAAAAACGAUACGCCCGAAACGCGAGAGCAGCUGGUACGCGCGAUGACAUCAGGAAUCGCGUAUCACGUAAAUACAGUGACUCUGUGCACUGCAACGACGAGUGGAGUUACAUUUUCAAACGGAAUCUAAAUAUUUACACUUUACGUAAGUGCAACGCAGAGUCGUAAUAAAAAAAAAAGGGCAGAAACGUGAAAUGAAAAAGCACACUGCUCCAUGGUAAAAACGUCGAUUCAAAAAAAGUUUAUUAGCACGUCCCGAACAGCAACGCCCAACAACUUCGUACGGCUUUCACGGUGAGAUCGGUUUUCUCCAUUCCGAAAUAAUGACGCGUGCCACAAAAGAGUUUUCAGGAUACCUUACAAAGCUGAGGAUACCGUCUUUCGGUCAUCGAGGAGCUCACGUCGACGUCGACGAACGAAGGAACGGUAUGUACCUUCGCUUCGUUAGCAGCGAACGCACUUAGGCAAAUGAGAAUUUCACCGAAAGGGAUGAUCCUUAAUCAAUCGACUAACGAGAUGUGUUCUUGAGUGGAACAAUGUACGAGGUAAAAAGUCGUCGUUUAAUAGACGUGUAUUCGUUCGCUGGCAUUAUUCUGAUCAACGAUUUCAAGCAUCACUAGAAUAAUUAAAUCGAAGAAGCAAGUAAAUUCUGAAAUAAUUUCUGUCGAUUCCGAUUUUUAAAUGAGAAAUAAAUGCAGGAAUAAGUUUGAAAGGCACAUAGUAUGGUGCUUGUAGAUACGUAUGACUCUAAUUUUUAUGAAUAUGACUUUGAAACUGAUAUCUAUAAGUAAGACAUCAUUUCUUCGGUGUGCAAUAUUUUGGAAAAAAAGACUCACGUCACGUUUCAAUAUUUAUUACAUAACAAUUGUCGAUGAAAAGAGAAUAGAAAUAAGUCUUAAGAAUAAGGUCUGUUUAGAAAAAGUUUUCAAUUUAGAAGACUCAACAUCAAUAUACAUGACUGUCUCAAUAUAUCACACCUUUCCAUAGAACAGAAAUAAUGGAAACAAUAUGCAAUAGAGAUAAAAAAAAAAAAAAAAGUCAGACAAUCUGACCCGAAAAUUUGUUGCGAAAGAAUAUCAUAGACUCAUUGUUCUCUCGCCAAAUACAUAACAAAAAAAUGAAAAUACUCUGCUAAUAAAAUUGUUAUCAAUUUUCUAAUGUAUUAUUAAAAAGGCAACGAUUUCUAAUAUUUACGGUAUUCUUUUCGACUGGUAGAACACCGGAUUGAUCGAAUCUUUUUGCUCAGUGAAUUAAGCAAAAGUUAACAGAUUGGAGAUAGUAAAAGAUGCGCGACAGAAAUGGGAGCGUAUGAACUGGAAUCCUCUUUGAAUAUAAUAUCACGUAAUUACUGGAUAAGUCGUGUUCGCGUUAAUGAGAAGCAGCGAAAUACAAUGUCGACUGUGUUCCUUGCAUCGUAGAAGAGUAAUAUUACGUACCUCGUGAUCGACAUAAUACGGCUCACGAAGGUUUUCUGGCACUCGGUUGUUGUACGCCUUCGACAGGAGCCAUUUUACGGAGGCACGUUGUUUGGCCUGAAACAAUUAAAAAAAAUAACGAAAUAGCGAAUUAAACCUACGAAGCUAUUAACUGUGUUAUUGGUUGUUUGUUUACAAUCCCGAGUUUGAAGAAACAAGGAUUAAAAGAAGAAAA
Molecule: long non-coding RNA, 2109 nt
Organism: Hylaeus anthracinus
Lineage: Eukaryota; Metazoa; Arthropoda; Insecta; Hymenoptera; Colletidae
Exons: 3
Source: RefSeq, a predicted model, not a curated record